ACUAUGGUGGCCCUCUCGCAUACCAGAGAGUAGGGAUGGGAAUCGAGAACUGACAACUGACCGAUUCCAUCGGAAUUGUACGUCUCCAACGUUAUCGAAUGUUCUUAACGAUUCUCUCAUUUCACUGCACGACGUUUUUUUUCCGGUUUCCCCGAAAUUUUGCGUCGCGGUACAUUUACGGGAAUUCCCACCCUGCUGAGGUCCUUGAACGCACCGUCGACGUGCCGCUCGGCUCAGAGUGAGCGUCUGCUGAACGAUCUCUGUGGUGUGUGCGUCCAUGAAGCCACUUUACCAAGCUGCCAUCAAUCAGCGCUCCACCACUGUCCUCCCUGUCUGCCCUUGCUCUCACUCACAGCAAGUACACAUGGCAAAUUGGCUUUUAGAGGCCACACUGCUGGAGCCGCCGCUCUACUAAUAGUAUGGUCUCCAGAUAUUCUGCUCCAGUUUCUUAAUCCUCAGAGCUGUGUCAGGGUUUUUCCUCCCUUGUGAGCAACAUUUAUGUGCUGGUACACAUCACGCUCCUGUGGGUGUCCACCUCGUUGGGAACAGUUCAUGUGAAUUGUUAGCACUUAUUCUUUAUUAAGUUCACGUCCCCUGAUAGCUUCGUUACCCCCACUCAAAUUGCUGGAGUUUAUUGCAUAUAAAUAAAAUAUGAAUAUCAGUGCUGUGCA
Molecule: long non-coding RNA, 671 nt
Organism: Solea solea (common sole)
Lineage: Eukaryota; Metazoa; Chordata; Actinopteri; Pleuronectiformes; Soleidae
Exons: 2
Source: RefSeq, a predicted model, not a curated record